GGCGAGCGACCUGGAAUAAGCCCAGCACUGAAUCCCGUGUCAUGUUGACAUUGGGAAUUGUAGUGUACAGGUUAUGUCUUUAAUUGUGGAUUCCGUUUCAAAUUUGCUUGAAUGUUAUCUAGUCCAUAGAGGGUGUUAGACCUGUAGAGACGGAUGAAACUUUUAUUGAUGUUUCCUAUGAGUCGGAUUGUUUGGGAAUGCAGUCCAAAUUUGGUGGUAAACUCCAUCUAAGGCUAAAUACUUGUAUGAGUCCGAUAGUAAACAAGUACCGUGAGGGAAAGUUGAAAAGAACUUUGAAAAGAGAGUUAAAUAGUACGUGAAAUCGCUUAAAGGUAAACGAGUGGAGCCGAAGUUAAUGUAUGGAAUUCAGUCUAUUGUGCGUUGUAACUUUUUGGCGAGAUCUUUAUAAGGAUUAGCUGAAUUGCUGUCGAUGCGCGAUGGAUGCACUUUCUAUGCAUUUUUACUGCGUCCAAUAAAGAUGUUUUUCUGUCGUGACACUUGAAGGUGAGCUCUUCUUCGGAAUUGAUGUUAUAUCUUGUUACACGGUUAAAUGAUCAUAUUGGUUAUUAGUGAUGGGUCAAUGCUUGAUGGGCUGUCAUGUUGGUUAUUGUGUGGUGAACUCAUAAGAGAUUACUGUGCGGUGAUUGAUGUGGCUGGUCUAUUGAGUGGAUCUGUCUAAAGUCCGCAGUGUUUAUGUAGGUUAUCUACUUGUCCCGUCUUGAAACACGGACCAAGGAGUUUUAUAUGAUUGCGAGUCUAAGGAUUCUACGAAAUCUGGUGGCGUAAUUAAUGUGAAGGUUUACUUUAUCGUAGACUGCAAUGUGACCUCAUGUUCUUCGGAAUCAUAGAGAGCAACAUUGGCCCGUCUAAAGGUGUCUUCAACGCAUCUGGGCGGAGUUAGAGCAAUCAUGUAGAGACCCGAAAGAUGGUGAACUAUGCUUGUGCAGGUUGAAGUCAGGGGAAACUCUGAUGGAGGACCGCAGCGGUUCUGACGUGCAAAUCGAUCGUCGGACAUGAGUAUAGGGGCGAAAGACUAAUCGAACCAUCUAGUAGCUGGUUCCCUCCGAAGUUUCCCUCAGGAUAGCUGGCAUUCGGUGUGUGAACAUAGUUGUAUCUGGUAAAGCGAAUGAUUAGAAGAAUUGGGGACGAAAUGUUCUCAACUUAUUCUCAAACUUUAAAUGGGUACGAUCGUUAGCUGUCUUCAAUGCAGUUGAUGGUCGAAUAUGAGUGCCUAGUGGGCCAUUUUUGGUAAGCAGAACUGGCGAUGUGGGAUGAACCAAAAAUCUAGUUAAGGUGCCUAAUAUCAUGCUCAUGAGAUACCACAAAAGGUGUUGGUUGAUAAAGACAGCAGGACGGUGGACAUGGAAGUCGUCAUCCGCUAAGGAGUGUGUAACAACUCACCUGCCGAAUCAACCAGCCCUGAAAAUGAAUGGCGCUAUAGCAUGAAACCUAUACUGGAUCGGCAUAGUAAGUGAUUUAUGAUUGAACGAGUACACUGUGUCGUGUAGGAGGGUGCCGUGGUUGCAACGAAGCUACUCACGUGAGUGGGAGUGGAGCGGCCACGGG
This 1566-nucleotide ribosomal RNA is filed under the name Amphibioplana onnisi. RNAcentral describes it as "Tricladida gen. n. sp. n. DDS-2020 partial large subunit ribosomal RNA". It matches the Rfam family "Eukaryotic large subunit ribosomal RNA", at positions 88 to 1442 of the family's 3401-position model. The record is from RNAcentral. Lineage: Eukaryota; Metazoa; Platyhelminthes; Tricladida; Amphibioplanidae.